This 481-nucleotide ribosomal RNA is filed under the name uncultured bacterium. RNAcentral describes it as "partial 16S ribosomal RNA". It matches the Rfam family "Bacterial small subunit ribosomal RNA", at positions 28 to 507 of the family's 1533-position model. The record is from RNAcentral.
GAUGAACGCUGGCGGCGUGCUUAACACAUGCAAGUCGAACGAAACACCUCAUUUGAUUUUCUUCGGACCUGAGGCGAUGGUGUUUGUGUGACGGACGGGUCCGUACCGCGAGGGUAACAUGCCCUGUACAGACGGAUAACAGUAAGAAAUAACUGCUACUACCGCAUAAGACCACAGCACCGCAUGGUGCAGGGGUGAAAUGACUGGUGGUACAGGAUGGACCCGCGUCGGAUUAGCUGGUGGGUGAGGUAUCGGCGCACCAUGGCGGCGAUGAGUAGCCGGCGUGAGAACGGGAACGACUGCAAUUGGGCUGAGGCACAGCCCAAACUCCGACGGGAGGCAGCAGUGUGUAAUAUUGCAGAAUGGAGGAAACCCUGGUGCAGCGACGCCGCGGGAGUGAAGAAGUAGGUCGUUAUGUGAAUCCCUAUCAGCAGGAAAGAAAAUGACGGUACCUGAUAAAGAAGCCCCGGCUAACUACGUG